The sequence is a transfer RNA, 73 nucleotides long. It matches the Rfam family "tRNA". Rfam says of the family: Transfer RNA (tRNA) molecules are approximately 80 nucleotides in length. The record is from Rfam.
GCGCCGCUAGCUCAACUGGCAGAGCAGCUGACUCUUAAUCAGCGGGUUCGGGGUUCGAGUCCCUGGCGGCGCA